Canis lupus familiaris (dog) is the source of this 318-nucleotide long non-coding RNA. RefSeq lists it as uncharacterized. NCBI's taxonomy places the organism in Eukaryota, Metazoa, Chordata, Mammalia, Carnivora, Canidae. The transcript is spliced from 3 exons. The record is from RefSeq and is a predicted model, not a curated record.
GGCACAACAGACCCUAGCCAGGGUAUCCAGUAGGAGCAUGGCUCCUGGGUAUCCAGGUGGAGCUCUACCACGAGGGCAAACUAAUGAGCCUAGAAACGAGUUGGUCUCCAUUGCAUAAUCCAUAGCUGACACAGCUGAAGUUCUUGGGCCACGUCAAUCAGGGGAAAACAGAGAACAAUGGGCAUGUGAGCAAGUCUGGCCUCCUCGGCAGAAAUGCUUAAAAGCCUGCUCCAGAAACGGACCAAUAAAAAGCCUUGUUUCUUACUUUAUAUCAGAUGCUUGCUGAUUUCUUACCCCCGAAAAGCCUUUCAGAAAGAG